UGAAAAUGGCCAAGUCAGUACAACAGAUACAUCACCAGUGAUCCUGGUUCAAUUCCCGCGACCGUCUGUAAGGAGUGUGUACGUUCUCCCCGUGACUGCAUGGGUUUCCUCUGGGUGCUCUGGUUUCCUUCUACAAUCCAAAGACAUACGGGUUGAUGGCCUUCCCUCAGGAACAUUACCCUUCAGUGAGGAGCAGCAACCUCCCUACCUGCAACGACGAGCUCAAGGCUGAAGGAGUUCUGCCCUGCCCGGUUGGUGGCAAUGCACGUG
Molecule: long non-coding RNA, 270 nt
Organism: Hypanus sabinus (Atlantic stingray)
Lineage: Eukaryota; Metazoa; Chordata; Chondrichthyes; Myliobatiformes; Dasyatidae
Exons: 3
Source: RefSeq, a predicted model, not a curated record